CGAAAACGAAUUCUCUCUUGAGUGGAUCCUGAGUACGACGGAGCACGUGAAAUUCCGUCGGAAUCUGGGAGGACCAUCUCCUAAGGCUAAAUACUCUCUAGUGACCGAUAGUGAACCAGUACCGUGAGGGAAAGGUGAAAAGUACCCCGGAAGGGGAGUGAAAGAGAACUUGAAACCGUGUGCUUACAAGUAGUCAGAGCCCGUUAAUGGGUGAUGGCGUGCCUUUUGUAGAAUGAACCGGCGAGUUACGAUCUGAUGCAAGGUUAAGCAGAAAAUGUGGAGCCGUAGCGAAAGCGAGUCUGAAUAGGGCGAAUGAGUAUUUGGUCGUAGACCCGAAACCAGGUGAUCUACCCUUGGUCAGGUUGAAGUUCAGGUAACACUGAAUGGAGGACCGAACCGACUUACGUUGAAAAGUGAGCGGAUGAACUGAGGGUAGCGGAGAAAUUCCAAUCGAACUUGGAGAUAGCUGGUUCUCUCCGAAAUAGCUUUAGGGCUAGCCUCAAGUGAUGAUUAUUGGAGGUAGAGCACUGUUUGGACGAGGGGCCCCUCUCGGGUUACCGAAUUCAGACAAACUCCGAAUGCCAAAUAAUUUAACUUGGGAGUCAGAAUGUGGGUGAUAAGGUCCAUAUUCGAAAGGGAAACAGCCCAGAC
Molecule: ribosomal RNA, 651 nt
Filed under: Staphylococcus pseudintermedius
Lineage: Bacteria; Bacillati; Bacillota; Bacilli; Caryophanales; Staphylococcaceae
Description: partial 23S ribosomal RNA
Rfam family: Bacterial large subunit ribosomal RNA
Source: RNAcentral